GACGAACGCUGGCGGCGUGCCUAAUACAUGCAAGUUGAGCGCUGAAGGUUGGUACUUGUACCAACUGGAUGAGCAGCGAACGGGUGAGUAACGCGUGGGGAAUCUGCCUUUGAGCGGGGGACAACAUUUGGAAACGAAUGCUAAUACCGCAUAAAAACUUUAAACACAAGUUUUAAGUUUGAAAGAUGCAAUUGCAUCACUCAAAGAUGAUCCCGCGUUGUAUUAGCUAGUUGGUGAGGUAAAGGCUCACCAAGGCGAUGAUACAUAGCCGACCUGAGAGGGUGAUCGGCCACAUUGGGACUGAGACACGGCCCAAACUCCUACGGGAGGCAGCAGUAGGGAAUCUUCGGCAAUGGACGAAAGUCUGACCGAGCAACGCCGCGUGAGUGAAGAAGGUUUUCGGAUCGUAAAACUCUGUUGGUAGAGGAGAACGUUGGUGAGAGUGGAAAGCUCAUCAAGUGACGGUAACUACCCAGAAAGGGACGGCUAACUACGU
Molecule: ribosomal RNA, 496 nt
Filed under: uncultured bacterium
Lineage: Bacteria
Description: partial 16S ribosomal RNA
Rfam family: Bacterial small subunit ribosomal RNA
Source: RNAcentral